Molecule: non-coding RNA, 2776 nt
Organism: Cyanistes caeruleus (blue tit)
Lineage: Eukaryota; Metazoa; Chordata; Aves; Passeriformes; Paridae
Source: RefSeq, a predicted model, not a curated record
AUAAAUAAGUGAACAUGCCCUCUCUUUCUUUCAUCUGUCCCCAGUUAAAAUAUGUCCUGACCAAAAAAACAAACCAAUAACAAAAAGCGAGGAUAAGGACCUAUCCUUGAAGCAUGGCCCACAGCUGCUUUAUCACAGGAAUCACUGUCAGCAGAUGUCCCAGCACUCCCAACCCCAAGACUGUGAAAUGUGAAAGCAGUGAUAGACUAUUCUCCCUCCUCAAAUCGCUCCCUCCAGGAACAACUGCUAAAAUUUAUAUUUUUUAAGCUAUAUGAGUUUGAAGAACUGAUUUAGUUCUCUGAAACUUAACCAAAGUCAGGUUGUCCCCACAGCUCCUUUGCUUCUCCUGAGAUGUAACCAUUAACUGUGGUGGUGCCUCCAGAAGCCCUGCCUGGGGCUGGCUUGUGGGAACACCUGCUGGAAGCUUGGUGUGAGUCUGCAAAUCCCAGCUCAGAGACACUCGUGUCAAUCCUUAGAGCCUUUCUUCUGGAGAGUCCUGUGAAAAGUUUCAUCACUGGUGUGGAGGGUGCCUGGUGCCCUUCUCAGUCAGCAUCCAAGGCAUCGGAGCCACGAGGGCCCUGGAGAGACACAAAUUCCAAAGAAGAAACAUCUUUUAAGGAAGAAAAGCAAACUGCAAUCAGCCCUUCAGAAAUACCAUUUAACUUUGAGCUACUGAAGGGUGUCUGAUACUGUGGCAGACAAAUUGUGCAUUCCAAAAGCAGAGCCCAUCAUGUGAUAAAGGAGCAGAUGUCUCUUGGAUGGCUUUCCUCCCUGUGUCACAGUAUCAUUAGGAUAGCUACGUGCCAAGAACUGCACUUGGCUUUGUUUCCAUUUCAGGGCAGAAAAGGCAUCAGAGGCUUUUUCCUAGGAAAAGGCACACAAAAGUGCACCAAGCCUUGUGCAGGCAAAGCAGAAGGACAGAGAUAGACAGAUGUGUACACACAUCUGUGCACAUGAACACACACAUCCCAGAGACCCCAGAGAGCCACAGAUGUCAUCACAUUUUAUUCUUCCCUCAAAAGAAUGGGAGUAUCUGAAAAUCUAGGGAGGAAACCUGUGAUGGGGACAUCAAAUAUCCCUGCUGGUGUGAUUGUUAGAUGGGGGCUGUUGCAGUGAUAAUGUAGUUUGUGGGGGUGCAUAGCAAGAAAAAAAAACCUUUUAUUUUCUUCAGUUUAAACUGUGAAGUUGUUAUUGUCUGUUUUGUCUCUCCUGCAUUUUUCUGUAAGUCUCAGGUCUUCUGCUUGUUUGCUUUUACACACACAGGAGCCUGUGCUCUGAAGCUGUCAGAAAACAUCCAUGUAAUGUGCCAUUCCCUCUUAGCUGUGCAGGGAUGUUGCAAUCCCAAAACAUGGAGAUGGAGAGGCUUCAGGUGAGGGAUUUUAGAUCUCUACAAGACAGACAAACAAUGCAACAAGACACACUUGCUGGUUAAAGAACUACACCAGAACAGCUUUAAUGAACAGUCAAGUGCAUGAGCUAUACACUCAUUUUACACACUGUAAAAAUUUGCAUAAGUCUGUCCUAAAUCCCAGGUUUGGUGACAGCAGGAGGGUGUGUGGGUACAUGUGGAGGGAGCGUGGCAGCAGCAGGGUGUCUGCUCCAGGCAGAUCUCCCACAUGGUCCCUCCAGGAGGAUUCCUGUCCCAGGACCCAGCACAGCGUGUCCCAGCUCACUGCCCAGGGGGGUUCACUCCACCCUUUCCAACCCCAGAAAAGGUUGCACGAGUUCAUCCUGCUGGGCCACGGCUCCAAGGGUCUGUGGAGGGGCCUGGCAAGUGCCCUGGCCAGUUCCAGUGGUGACAAAGGCCGCGUAACUCUGGUGGCUCUGGGGUGGUGACAAGAGAAUUUUAGAGUGCUCACAACAGGCAAUGGGUGACAGAUUAUUGUGGAAAAUCGAGACUCUGGAGCAAUCCUUCUUCUGUAUUACAUCUCUCGUUAAUGUUGUCUUAUGUUCUGCUUUCUCAAAAACCAAAGGAUCUUCUAGCAGAUAAAUGCAAUUUUCCCAGCAUUUAUCCCAGCAGUUUCCUGGGACAAUGGUUGCUCCUUUGUGACUCUGGUGGGUACCAACACUUAGGUGACUUGAAAAAUGAAUCAUGCAGCACCACACAGGGCAUGUUAAAUCCACUGAUCUGAAUUUUCCUGUGCUUGAAUUGGAUAAAUUGUAUAAAUUAAUGUUUUACUAAAAUACAGUUGGAUUAUCUAAUGUAUAUUUUUAAUAGGAUCUAAUUGUGGCAUUUUGAGUGAUUUAAAUUUCUGAUACACACACAAAAAAAUCUAUAAACUAGUUCCUGUUACAAAUGUAACUGCCUGGCUACAUUUGUUAAAAUUUAGAGCAGCUUCCCAUCUGUGUGUGCUCCUGAUGUUGAUGUCUCCUCUUGCAGAAGGACAGGUGGGUGCCAGUGAUGGAUUCUCAUCAAAGACACUGAAGAUUUUAAUCUUUUUCCUGACUGACAGCUAGAACAGAUCUUCUGUGACAUUUGGGGAGGAAGAUUUCAGUGCCUCUCCUGUGGAGCCUGUGCUUCCCAAUGAUCAUGACACUGCUCAAAGCAACAGGCAACCUGAAGAGGAAAGUGCCUGGAUCCUGCAGCAGGCUGUCCCAUGAUGGCAUUUAGCAAAGUGCAGGGAUGAAUUACUGCCUGUGCAGCACAGCCAUACAGGGAUGCAGCAGACCAUGCUUAGGACUUGGGGAUUUCCUUUGGCAGAUCUUUGCCCCUUGAGGGUAAAUGAACAUGCUUCCCUGUUGGUAUGUGGGCAGCUGACACUUUUGUUUUAGAGAA